Molecule: long non-coding RNA, 156 nt
Organism: Triticum dicoccoides
Lineage: Eukaryota; Viridiplantae; Streptophyta; Magnoliopsida; Poales; Poaceae
Exons: 3
Source: RefSeq, a predicted model, not a curated record
CCAUCCAUGAAUGGCGCCGGUCCAAUGCUCAGGGUGGCAUGUGGCAAUGUCGGGGACCAGCGAGGAAGAUGACCGGUGUACAUCCUUUGGAAUAAAAUUGAAGACAUGGUGAGUCUUGUGGCGCGAAGCCAACAACACGCAGCGGCAAGUGAGCAC